Long non-coding RNA from Ctenopharyngodon idella (grass carp), 342 nucleotides. RefSeq lists it as uncharacterized. The record is from RefSeq and is a predicted model, not a curated record. The transcript is spliced from 4 exons. NCBI's taxonomy places the organism in Eukaryota, Metazoa, Chordata, Actinopteri, Cypriniformes, Xenocyprididae.
GUUUCUUUCUUACCUUUUAGACUUAUAGACUUAGACUUAUACAUAUGUCCUGUCCUCUCCACUGAGCUGUACGUCACAUUCAGGAAACAAUUUACACAAUCAUCCAUCCAUAUCAAGAAGGUGAAACAUCCUAAACUGUGACCAGGCUUAACAUAAAGAGCUACACCGGUAAAUUAGUAAGGUUCAGCUGAACUGUCAACAUUCUUCAACUAAAUAAUGUGACCAGUUAAAAAGCCCAGCCGACAUAAACAAGCGGGCCGCAUGAAUGUGUGUCAGCCCAGGCACUUAUAUGAACUCUACUCACAGGCAAAAAGCAGAGCAAAAGCAUGGAAAUUCCUCUAA